Molecule: ribosomal RNA, 254 nt
Filed under: uncultured bacterium
Lineage: Bacteria
Description: partial 16S ribosomal RNA
Rfam family: Bacterial small subunit ribosomal RNA
Source: RNAcentral
UACAGAGGGUGCAAACGUUGCUCGGAAUCAUUGGGCGUAAAGCGCGUGUAGGCAGCGACUGCAAGUCGGGUGUGAAAGCCCUGGGCUCAACCUAGGAAGUGCACUCGAAACUGCAGGGCUUGAGUUCUGGAGAGGAAGGCGGAAUUCUCGGUGUAGAGGUGAAAUUCGUAGAUAUCGAGAGGAACAUCGGUGGCGAAGGCGGCCUUCAGGACAGUGACUGACGCUGAGACGCGAAAGCGUGGGGAGCAAACAGG